RNAcentral lists this ribosomal RNA (849 nucleotides) under uncultured organism. RNAcentral's name for it is "bacterial SSU rRNA". It matches the Rfam family "Bacterial small subunit ribosomal RNA", at positions 466 to 1328 of the family's 1533-position model. The record is from RNAcentral.
UUAUUGACAUUAGCUCAUGAAUAAGGGGCUCCCAACUCUGUGCCAGCAGGAGCGGUAAUACAGAGGCCUCAAGCGUUAUCCGGAUUCACUGGGCGUAAAGGGUGCGUAGGCGGUUAUAUUAGUCGGGCGUAAAAUCCUAGGGCUCAACCUUAGGCUCGCGUUCGAAACGGUAUAACUAGGAGUAGUGAGAGGUGAACAGAACUCGCGGUGUAGGGGUGAAAUCCGUUGAUAUCGUGGGGAAUACCAAAUGCGAAGGCAGUUCACUGGCGCUUACUCGACGCUGAGGCACGAAAGCGUGGGUAGCGAACGGGAUUAGAUACCCCGGUAGUCCACGCCCUAAACGCUGUCCGCUGGCUUUAGGGAGAAUCGACCCUCCCUGAGGCGAAGGUAACCCGUUAAGCGGACCGCCUGGGUAGUACGAGCGCAAGCUUAAAACUCAAAGGAAUAGACGGGGGCUCGCACAAGCGGUGGAUCAUGAGGCUUAAUUCGUCGAUAAGCGAAAAACCUUACCCAGGCUAGAAACCAUACUGCACGCUCUCCGAAAGGAGAGAAUCCUUCGAGGGUGUAUGGCAGGUGAUGCAUGGCCGUCGUCAGUUCGUGGCUUGAGCUGUUCCCUUAAGUGGGGAAACGAACGCAACCCUCGUUGCCUGUUACAAGUGUCAGGCGAGACUGCUCCCUCACGGGAGAGGAAGGUGAGGAUGACGCCAGGUCAGCAUGUCCCUUGAUGCCUGGGGCUGCACUCGUGAUACAAUGGGAUGUACAAAGGGACGCAAUACAGUAAUGUGGAGCAAAUCCUGAUAAAACAUUCCUCAGUUCGGAUUGAGGGCUGCAACUCGCCCUCAGAAGCCG